RNAcentral lists this transfer RNA (73 nucleotides) under Massilia forsythiae. RNAcentral describes it as "Duganella sp. GN2-R2 tRNA-OTHER". The record is from RNAcentral. Lineage: Bacteria; Pseudomonadati; Pseudomonadota; Betaproteobacteria; Burkholderiales; Oxalobacteraceae.
GUAAUUCAGCCUCAAACGGACAAAAGGACUGAAACGCCUUGUGUCGGUGGUUCGAUUCCGCCCCGGGCCACCA